UACGUAGGUGGCAAGCGUUAUCCGGAAUUACUGGGCGUAAAGGGUGCGUAGGUGGUUUCUUAAGUCAGAGGUGAAAGGCUACGGCUCAACCGUAGUAAGCCUUUGAAACUGGGGAACUUGAGUGCAGGAGAGGAGAGUGGAAUUCCUAGUGUAGCGGUGAAAUGCGUAGAUAUUAGGAGGAACACCAGUUGCGAAGGCGGCUCUCUGGACUGUAACUGACACUGAGGCACGAAAGCGUGGGGAGCAAACAGG
RNAcentral lists this ribosomal RNA (252 nucleotides) under uncultured bacterium. RNAcentral describes it as "partial 16S ribosomal RNA". It matches the Rfam family "Bacterial small subunit ribosomal RNA", at positions 524 to 776 of the family's 1533-position model. The record is from RNAcentral.